This 74-nucleotide transfer RNA is filed under the name Anguilla anguilla (European eel). Its description in RNAcentral is "tRNA-OTHER". Lineage: Eukaryota; Metazoa; Chordata; Actinopteri; Anguilliformes; Anguillidae. The record is from RNAcentral.
GGCACGCUGGUGCAGUGGGUAGCACUGUCGCCUCACAGCAGAAAGGCACUGGGUUCGAAUCUCGGUUUGGGGCC